UGCAAGUCGUACGAGAGUUUUUAACUCAAGUGGCGGACGGGUGAGUAACACGUAAGAAUUUGCCUUUAGGAGGGGGACAACAACUGGAAACGGUUGCUAAUACCCCAUAUGCUUUCGAGUGAAAUGGAAUUUCCGCCUAAAGAGAAGCUUGCGGCUGAUUAGCUUGUUGGUGAGGUAAUGGCUCACCAAGGCGACGAUCAGUAUCUGGUUUGAGAGGAUGAUCAGACACACUGGAACUGAGACACGGUCCAGACUCCUACGGGAGGCAGCAGUGGGGAAUUUUCCGCAAUGGGCGAAAGCCUGACGGAGCAAUACCGCGUGAGGGAUGAAGGCUCAUGGGUUGUAAACCUCCUUUUUCAGGGAGGAAUUCAUGACGUGUACCUGAAGAAUAAGCAUCGGCUAACUCCGUGCCAGCAGGCGCGGUAAGACGGAGGAUGCAAGUGUUAUCCGGAAUCACUGGGCGUAAAGCGUCUGUAGGUGGUUUAACAAGUCAACUGUUAAAUCUUGAAGCUCAACUUCAAAAUCGCAGUCGAAACUAUUAGACUAGAGUAUAGUAGAGGUAAAGGGAAUUUCCAGUGGAGCGGUGAAAUGCGUAGAGAUUGGAAAGAACACCGAUGGCGAAAGCACUUUACUGGGCUAUUACUGACACUGAGAGACGAAAGCUAGGGUAGCAAAUGGGAUUAGAUACCCCAGUAGUCCU
This 700-nucleotide ribosomal RNA is filed under the name uncultured bacterium. RNAcentral describes it as "bacterial SSU rRNA". It matches the Rfam family "Bacterial small subunit ribosomal RNA", at positions 56 to 797 of the family's 1533-position model. The record is from RNAcentral.